This 318-nucleotide ribosomal RNA is filed under the name uncultured bacterium. RNAcentral's name for it is "bacterial SSU rRNA". It matches the Rfam family "Bacterial small subunit ribosomal RNA", at positions 28 to 352 of the family's 1533-position model. The record is from RNAcentral.
GAUGAACGCUAGCGGGAGGCCUAAUACAUGCAAGUCGAACGGUUCCACUUCGGUGGGAUAGUGGCGCACGGGUGAGUAACGCGUACGCAAUUUGCCCUCAAUUGGGGAAUAGCCCUGGGAAACUGGGAGUAAUACCCCAUAGAGUUAUGUAGCUGCAUGGCGAGAUAACUAAAGUUCCGGCGAUUGAGGAUGAGCGUGCGUCUGAUUAGCUAGUUGGUAGGGUAACGGCCUACCAAGGCGAUGAUCAGUAGGGGGCGUGAGAGCGUGGCCCCCCACACGGUACGUGAGACACGGACCCGACCUCCUACGGGAGGCAGC